UACGUAGGGUGCAAGCGUUGUCCGGAAUUAUUGGGCGUAAAGAGCUCGUAGGCGGUCUGUCACGUCGGCUGUGAAAACCCGAGGCUCAACCUCGGGCCUGCAGUCGAUACGGGCAAACUAGAGUGUUGCAGGGGAGACUGGAAUUCCUGGUGUAGCGGUGAAAUGCGCAGAUAUCAGGAGGAACACCAAUGGCGAAGGCAGAUCUCUGGGCCGUAACUGACGCUGAGGAGCGAAAGCAUGGGGAGCGAACAGG
Molecule: ribosomal RNA, 253 nt
Filed under: uncultured bacterium
Lineage: Bacteria
Description: partial 16S ribosomal RNA
Rfam family: Bacterial small subunit ribosomal RNA
Source: RNAcentral